GGCCAUGAUCCGCAGGCAGGCAGGCCACUCUGCCACCACAGGGUCCAUUUUUUUGGACAGAUAAGCUACUGCCCUUUUAAUGGAGCCGCCAUCUCAGUGAAUUGAGAUAUCCAUAGGCGACAGAAACCUGCGGUGCCCAAACACACUCUUACUUGUUUUUGGUUGGUUGACUGCAGAAUAUGGAACAGUUUCUUUUCUAGCCUCCUACAGACACCUCUUUCCCUUUUUAAGCAGAUACUCCAGGUGCCAUUCAAGUCCCUGAUCGAUUGUCAUGUGGGCCGGGAAAAACUGGCACCUGAACAGGGAACCCAGCGUAUCACAGAGGAGAGAACGCUGCUCAUCAUUAGAGCAUAGGCCUGCCCGCUCAUUUACAGAAGCACCUGUGAGCAGCUUUGGUUCUACAUAACCCCACAGUCCAACCCGCCAUGAGACAGUCUUGGAGUUCAUAGCGUGCUGCAGAUCUUAAGGUAUUUAAGUGUGCUUAUAUAUUCUUCUACUGAAUGAAUCUCAUCCACAAUGAAAGACACCAGGCAAGUAAUAACAGUGAAGAUAAAACCUCAUGACUUGAUAUAAAAGAACUGUCCUGUAAAACACUGUCAUAAUGUCAUCAGGAGAAAUACCCGAUGAGCAUGUCAGAAGAUACUGAAGCCAAAAACCCUUUGUUAGAUGUAAAUGCAUUUCAUUGUAAAAUUUGUUGCACCAUUUUCCUUUGCCUUCAUUAAAAUCAAAGGACUCUUUCAA
This is a long non-coding RNA of Mus musculus (house mouse), 741 nucleotides long. RefSeq annotates it as predicted gene, 41317. The transcript has 3 exons. NCBI's taxonomy places the organism in Eukaryota, Metazoa, Chordata, Mammalia, Rodentia, Muridae. The record is from RefSeq and is a predicted model, not a curated record.